CUUGAGCGAGCCCAGCAUCAGCGGCUGUCCCUCGGCCCGGUCCUGACCGUAGGUGGCGAGCAGCGCCUGGGCCUC
This is a non-coding RNA of Streptomyces sp. WM6378, 75 nucleotides long. NCBI's taxonomy places the organism in Bacteria, Bacillati, Actinomycetota, Actinomycetes, Kitasatosporales, Streptomycetaceae. The record is from Rfam.